This 429-nucleotide ribosomal RNA is filed under the name Bacteroidota bacterium. RNAcentral's name for it is "Bacteroidetes bacterium partial 16S ribosomal RNA". It matches the Rfam family "Bacterial small subunit ribosomal RNA", at positions 355 to 776 of the family's 1533-position model. Lineage: Bacteria; Pseudomonadati; Bacteroidota. The record is from RNAcentral.
UAGGGAAUCUUCGGCAAUGGGGGGAACCCUGACCGAGCAACGCCGCGUGAGUGAAGAAGGUUUUCGGAUCGUAAAGCUCUUUUGUUAAGGAAGAACGAGUGUGAGAAUGGAAAGUUCAUGCUGUGACGGUACUUAACCAGAAAGGGACGGCUAACUACGUGCCAGCAGCCGCGGUAAUACGUAGGUCCCGAGCGUUGUCCGGAUUUAUUGGGCGUAAAGCGAGCGCAGGCGGUUAGAAAAGUCUGAAGUGAAAGGCAGUGGCUCAACCAUUGUAGGCUUUGGAAACUGUUUAACUUGAGUGCAGAAGGGGAGAGUGGAAUUCCAUGUGUAACGGUGAAAUGCGUAGAUAUAUGGAGGAACACCGGUGGCGAAAGCGGCUCUCUGGUCUGUAACUGACGCUGAGGCUCGAAAGCGUGGGGAGCGAACAGG